AGUCACGCAUUUAUGCGGCAGCAUAGGACUGAACUGUGGGAGAACUUAUAUGAUUCUACCCCUUUUCAUACUUAUGCUGCUUCAGAGGUGAAUUCACAA
This 99-nucleotide microRNA precursor is filed under the name Haemonchus contortus (barber pole worm). RNAcentral's name for it is "microRNA hco-mir-5890e precursor". The stretch from base 10 to 87 matches the Rfam family "mir-5890 microRNA precursor family". The record is from miRBase by way of RNAcentral. Lineage: Eukaryota; Metazoa; Nematoda; Chromadorea; Rhabditida; Trichostrongylidae.